RNAcentral lists this long non-coding RNA (1599 nucleotides) under Homo sapiens (human). RNAcentral's name for it is "HSALNT0040527". Lineage: Eukaryota; Metazoa; Chordata; Mammalia; Primates; Hominidae. The record is from RNAcentral.
GUUGGCCAGGAUGGUCUCAAUCUCUUGACGUCGUGACCCACCUGCCUUAUCCUCCAAAAGUGCUGAGAUUAUAGGCAUGAGCCACAAGCCCAGCCGACAUUAUUUUUUAUAUCGUAAUUGCUCUCCAGAGCUUUAUACAAGGUGUGCAUAAUUACCCACUAUGUAUACUUCUCCUGUUAUAAUUUUUAUGGCCAACGUGAUCAACAUGUGCAAAUUGCAUGUAUCAGUCUGAUUCCUUAACUGUGAUAAUUGGAUUCUCCAUGCAAUUAAUUACAGGUAGCAAUGACGUUUUGAGCACCUUAUACGGGUGCUGGACAGUUUUGUUUUGUUUUAGUUUUGUUUUCUAAAUAUGAAAUAGCAUUAAGAAAGUCUAAGUUCUUGGAGCCACACCAGAUUAUAGGGGUGCCUUUCAACAGUAAAUAGCAAUUUUCAUUGUCACACCAACCACCUCAGGACAAGGAAAUCCCCAGAGGAGAUUCAAUGUUUUUAACUUUAUAAGCCAAGAAAUUAAACAUCUCUUUAUUACUAAGUGAUGUUCAUUGGUGUUGGAUUAGAAUGUGAUACAGUUUGAGUGGUGUAUACACUCUGGGGUAUCAUGAACAGUGACUGCCCAACUGCAAAAAAAAAAAAAAAAAAGGAAAAAGAAAAAAAAAGGAGUUUAAUCCAUUCUACAUGAUCAGGUAAUCAGGAAUCAGACUCUGCAUGCUUAAAGCCAAAAUAUGCCUUCCAAAUAUGUGCAUGUGUGUGUGUGUGUUUGUGGGUGAGUGAGUGUGUGAGCCACUUCUGAGCAAAGUGGCGGACUGGAUGGUUGAUCUACUUAUCCACUUAUGGCCACAUUAAUUAUACUUCAACCCCUUGUUUUGUUCAUGUGUGCCAGGAAAUGCAAUGAGUCAAUAUACUUACUGAGAUUGCAGAAGAGACUGAACACUGCGCUAGGCUCUGAAGAGAAAGAUGAAAAAGAAGAAAGUGCUCCUGAGUAUAUGACUACUUGUACUUGCUAGCACUGAGGCAAGUACAAACUCUAGGCAUCAGGCUUUUGGUCUCACUCUUAGCGAAUUUGAACACUGGCUUUUUUGUUGGGCUUCCAUUCUUCUCUCAGCGCAAGAAUACCAACGUUUAUGACCCAGGAAGCACCAACUUAUACUUCACAGAGCUAAGGUGGUCUGCAAAAUUUGCCUUCACAUUUGGAAGACUCAAAAUCUAAUUUUUGAAGGGGUAGAAAUUUGAAAUUGGAGCAAAACCAAAAUGAUAUCAAAGCAAGGCAGGUCCAGAGUGUGUGGAGCAGUUCCAAGACAGCAUCCUUGAAAGACCCAAGCAUCCCAAUAUGAACUCUCAGAGAAACAGAAGAGUUUUACCAAAUAUUUUGGCUCACUUUUAAUGAUAAAAGCAUCAGAAUUUGUGUUAGGCUUCAAAUAUAUACAUCAUUUAUGCUUCAUGUAUUAUCUGCAAGUUAGAAGCAUUUCAGAGAAAAAAAUAAGAACUUACCUUAACAUUCUAUUGGCCACACAGCUUUUCUGAGAAGAUUACAUUGAUUUGGGUAUGACAUCAAGAUGGUGAGACAUGAAAAUUGGCUAGCCAUAUGUAGAGACCUGAAACUGG